This is a long non-coding RNA of Siniperca chuatsi (mandarin fish), 8796 nucleotides long. RefSeq lists it as uncharacterized. The record is from RefSeq and is a predicted model, not a curated record. The transcript has 2 exons. NCBI's taxonomy places the organism in Eukaryota, Metazoa, Chordata, Actinopteri, Centrarchiformes, Sinipercidae.
GACCUAAUAGGCUAUUAGUCCAGCUAGCUGCUAGCUUUGCUGACUUAUGUGUUACUUACUUGUUUCAUAAGAGAAAGACUAACCAGUGAGUGGUUUUUGUGAAAUGCAAAAAGACACAGUCCAAUUUAUAUUGUUUCAGAUGUCAUAUGGGUCUUUCUCUAAGAAACCAUCUUUGGCUGAGCAUACAUGGUUUAAACAUUGGCUUGCAGACAGAUUGAAUUAACCAGAUAACAACCAAGAAUAAAAAUUUGUUUUUGGGCCAAGGUAUGGAAGUAACAUUAGUUAGCUACAGAUAAUAAAAUUUGCCGGCAACGUUUGUCCCCUGGAUAGACGGAUAAUUCCCUGCAAAGUGUGUUAGCUUAGGUCUCAAACAUGUAAGUUUGAAAUUUGUAAGCCUCAAAAAAGGCUAGGGACUUGAAGCUAUGUUAGCUGCUAUAGCAUAACACACCCCGAAUCUUCAACCGAACUGUCAGCAGUCGGGUUGCAUUGUGGGUAAUGUAGGAAGGAAGGAAGAAGAACGUGUGGAACAAAAAAGACUGGUUCUGCUUCAUUGAUUUUGAUGCUUUUUUUCUUUUCUUUUUUUUUUCAAAACGGUCAAUUGUGAGUCCGACAAGGUCAGAGAAGUGCAAUACUAAAUCGGUGCAGUACUCUUUUAACAGUGUGUCACUAAUGUGGUUUAAGUAUUUAUUAAUUUGUGGUGUUCAUUUUAUUAACAGUGCAUAAUCCUUUACAGUGCUCCACUGUGUAAUGAUUCAACAAGGAUCUGUAUCCUGUCUUUACCUUUUCCUUCCACUUGAUACUGCUUUCCUUUUUACCUCUCUCUUCCUCAGUUUACCCUCUCUCUUCCUCUGGUUCAGAGAAGCUGCUGCAUUUCCCUGAGCUCCAUCUGUUUCUCUCUUCAUCCCUCUUUUCUAACCUGCUUAAUCCUCUGUCUAUAUCUGAUCAUUCAUCCUCUCCAUCACCAUGUCUCACUUUCUUUUUCUCUCUCUAUAUUUCUGUUUUUUCUUUCUCUAUCGCUGUCCACCUAUCAUUCUUUUACAUUUACUAGUCUUUUUUUUUAUCUACAUGUCUUUCAUUCUUCUUGGUCAGCCGGAUGUAUGCCAGCCUGGGUGGGUUUUACUGACUGACUGGAAGAGCACUUAGCUUCUGGCAAUACAAAACUACAACCACAAUUUGAACAACCAGAUUCCAGGAAGGUGGUGAGAAUAAAAAGAAAGUCAGCUUUGAUAGUAGCAUUAUAUUUGCAUUCAUCUUAAGGCCCAUAUUGUAUAGUGUGUGUAUAUAUAGUCCUCAUAGGUUUUUCUUAGUGGCUCAUUCAGCCAUAAACACAAUAACAACUACAGAGGACAUUGAUAAGCUAUAGUUAAAAAAAGGGCCAUAGACUAAAUACAUAAUGGGGCUUUAACAAAGCUUCCAACAUCUCCAUCAUGUCUGCCUUGUGAUGUUGAAUGUUGUGAUGCUGUACUUUGUACUGCACUGCAUUAUACUGAAAGGUCUGGUCACUCAGUGUAUCUGACAGGCUGGCCUAAACAGAGGUGAGCUGCUCCCAUUUUGGGAAUUCUUUUAAUCAAGAUCAUGAGAUCAUAUACUAUUAGAGUUGACUCUAAUUGCAAAUUGUGACUAAUUGUGAUUCUAAUCUAACUGGGUGUGUUUGGCUCGGUGACAAGGAAUAUUAAAUCAGACAAAAUAUUAAUCAGACUCAGGAUGCCCGUUCAUCAAGAAAUAAAACAAUUCUGUUUGAAAGUAAGACCAUUUAGCAUCCUACUGGGAGAGUUGCAGUUACUUUAUGUCACCUUGUACACUGAGGAGAAAGAGGUUCAUUGGUGCUGAGAUGUUAUAAGACAGCAACAAAGGAUUGACAUACUACGUGUAGGAAAAAAGGCAACAGCAUCCCUUUAAGUAAAACAAGCAGUGUUACAGUUUUUUUAACACAAAUACUCAGCCUUAAGUGGAAAACAUAAUGCCACUGCGGUGCAGCAUAUGACGCGCGUUAAAGUGCCGCCCCUAGCACCAAUAAAUAGAAAGCACUGUGCUGCAGCGCGUCAACAACUGUCUCUGUUUAUCCAUUGAUCUACACCAUAGACUGUAUAUAUUAUAUUAUAUUGUGUGUAUAUACACUCCCUGACAAAAGUCUUGUCGCCUAUCCAAGUUGUAGGAACAACAAAUAAUAACUUGACUUCUAGUUGAUCAUUUGGAAUGAGAAGUGGCUUAUAUGAAAGGCAAAGUCCUCUAGAUUAUGCUUAUUUUACCAAAAUAAAAUCUUAUCAUGCCUUGAUUUUUAAUUAUUUUAUUAGGAAAGAAAGGUCAGACUUUGCUUAGACAAAAGUCUUGUCACUUAAAAGAAAUAAUGUACAGUACAGAACAUAAAGUCAUGGUGCAGUGGAAAAAUAAUUAAUAUUGUGUAUGACUCCCAUGAGCUUAGAGGACUGCAUCCAUACUCAUACAUCCAUAGUCUUGGCAAUGACUCAAAUAACUUAUUAAUAAAGUCAUUUGGAAUGGCAAAGAAAGCAUUCUUGCAGGACUCCCAGAGUUCAUCAAGAUUCUUUGGUUUCAUCUUCAAUGCCUCCUCCUUCAUCUUACCCCAGACAUGCUCAAUAAUGUUCAUGUCUGGUGACUGGGCUGGCCAAUCCUGGAGCACCUUGACCUUGUUUGCUUUCAGGAACUUUGAUGUGGAGGCUGAAGUAUGAGAAGGAGCGCCAUCCUGCUGAAGAAUUUGCCCUCUCCUGUGGUUUGGAAUGUAAUGGGCAGCAAGAAUGUCUUGAUACCUCAGACUGUUGAUGUUGCCAUCCACUCUGCAGAUCUCUCGCACACCCCCAUACUGAAUGUAACCCCAAACCAUGAUUUUUCCUCCACCGAACUUGACUGGUUUCUGUGUGAAUGGGUCCAUGCGGGUUCCGAUAGGUCUUCUGCGGUAUUUGCGACGAUUGGGAUGCAGUUCAAUAGAUGAUUCAUCGGAAAAAUCAACCUUCUGCCACUUUUCCACAGUCCAUCCUUCCUGCAAGCUGUAGGCCUUGGCAAACGCAACACGAUUUUUUAGUUGUCUUCUGUUUAAUACUGGUUUCUGAGCACUAAUUCGGCCAUUGAGACCACUGUGUGACAGAAUUCGUCAAACUGUUCUUGUUGAUACAGGGUUUUCUGGUGACCAGUUGUUAUGUAGCUCUGCUGCAGUUGAAAAAGGGCUGGCCCUGGACUGUUGAACCAACAAACGGUCCUCUCGAACAGUAGUCUUACAGGGUCUGCCUGACCUGGGCCUGUCAUGAACUUCACCAGUUUCUUCAAAUCUUUUUCUUAUCCUCUCCACUUGAUGUUUAGAUACAUUAAAGAUGUCUGCCACCUCAGCAGGAGACUUGGUCUUCAGGCUCUUGAUGAUCAGCACUUUGGUCUGUGGUUGAAUCUGUGGCAUGCUGUCAGAGGUCAGGAUGCAUUUGAUGAAAAUAAUGGGGCGGCUGUUUUGACACGCACCAUUCAGCAUUGGUAUAUUUUGGCCUUUACACAUUCCAAGAUUCAUUACACUAUAAAUUCAUUGGUCUAGUGGGUAAAUGUUAGAUAUCAAAGGAAAUUAACAUACUGUAUCAUACUGAAACACUAGUUGGAAUGUAACCAGAUGAAAAUAAAUGACUAGACAAAAAGUUUCCCAGAAAUCUUGAAUGAAGUCCCUGUAUUUCAAAGAUGCAGCAGUACAGAUUCUGGUGUCAGAUACUUGGGCCACUGGGCUGGAAAACAGCCCUGUAUCAGAUACUCACUAAAAAUUCAGCACCUUCAGGCACAGUGUAGCAUGAGUCUGAUGGUGUUUGUGGCUUCUUCACACAAGAAAGGAUGUUAGAUCUGUAAUAGACAAAAAUGGAGUAGAAAAUUUAAUAUUAACCAUCUGAGUGACCCUCAGAGAAAUGAUCUGAAUCUAUACUGUUUAAGUAUGGGAGAUUAUCUUUUUCUGUAUCAGUAUCUUAUCUUGCGGUGUGUAAUUCUGAAGCUAAAGACUCCAAAAAUUGAAAAUGAAAAAAAUCUGGGGUUUAGGAGUUAGAAAGUGAACUUACCAGACCUCUGUAGCCCACUGCUCAUCUCUGUUUGAGGCUAGCAGCUCGAGGCUACAUUAGCGGCUACUAGCAUAACACACCUAAAUCUCUGACUGAAUUGUUGGCGGUUGAGUUGUGGGUUUUGCAGGUUGUGGGUAAUUUACAUAGGUGCCAGGUUUUGACAAAGAAGAAAAAUGCAUGGAAUAAAAAACAUGACAUCUCUGGUUCUGUUGCAUUGAUUUUAAUACUUUAUUACUUUCUUCUUCUUUUUCUUUUUACUGUCCGUCUUGAGUUCGACAAUGUUACAGAAGUGCAAAGCUCAGUCAGUGCAGUACUCUUUUAACAUUGGGCUACCCAUUACUGACAUGGUUUAAACAUUUGUUCAUUUGUGGUGUUCAACAGUGCAUGAUCCUUUACAAUGCUCCACUUUGUAACGAUUCAACAAGGAUCUGUAUCCCGCCUUUACCUUUUUCUUCCACCCAGUACUGCUUCCCCUUUUCCCUCUCUCCUCCUCCACUUACCCUUUCUUACUCUGUCCUGGUUCAGAGAGGCAGAGACCGAUAUGGAUGUCUCUGUCUCUCCAGUUUAACUGGACUACAGUAAGACUUGACAUCAGUAUGUAGCAGCUCCAGGGUAUGUCUGAUGAGGAAACGUCAGAAGAGACUCUCUAGUUUCUCGGUGUAUGAGAGGUAUGUUAAUGUGCACCAGUUUUGUUGAAUCACCUUUAAUCAUUGGAAUAAUGCAAGAAAUAUUUUAAUGGUUGGAUUUUGCUUUAAAUGAUGCAAGGCCAUGGGAUUUCAAAAGUACUAGAGGUUGAUAGACAGGACACAAAGAAAAUGCAAACAUGCAUGUGUGUAUGUGAAUGUGUGUGUGUUUCGCAAGAGUGAUCUGAUAUGCCUCUGCGGUUCCUGCGUGGAACACACAAACAUACUGAGGGAAUUGGUGUGUGAAUGAUGUGUUUGUAUGUAUGGCUGAACGCAAAUUAGUGAGGGUCUUACUAUAGAAGGCUAUAUAGACACAGAGUCCCAGAUUUAGGGCUUCAUGGAUGUAGGAGUGGUUAGUUAUGUGCAGACCAUGUUUCUAGACUACAUGCCCAGCCUGCAACUUAUUCAGAUUUAACAAUGAAUUUGGUUUGUUAAUUUAGGUUUUUAUCCUGUUUAUCUCAGUGUUUAGUUAAAAUGUGGAUACAUUAAUGUCUCACUCCUUCAUCAGAUGUUCAGAUUUUUCUACACAAAUGUAGAGGAAGCAGAAUUCCAACACAAUUCUUUCAGUGAACACUUUAGAAAAUGUAAGUUAUCAUUUUGUGGCCCAAGUACUGUGAUAAAAUUGUAUAUUUCAUUGUUGUCACUCCUGUGGCUAGCCAAAAUGUUGAUGCUUAGUUUUACAUCAUCUACAGUUGUAAUGUGAUGGGAUUUUUGUUAAUGUCAUGAAUGGUACAGAAUUGUGUUGUGUUAAUUAACAUUACAAAGUAGUCCAGAAGGAUGGACAAAUAUUGAUAUGGUUAUCGAGGAUUUUUUUCCCUCCAUGUAGUUGCUAUUAUUUGUACAGUAUGCCAUAUAGGGUUUCGUAGAGGUUGAUUAAUUCAGAUUAUGCUUACAGAUUUUUGGUUCUUAUCUACACUAUACAUGCAUGCAUAGAUGCAUGCAUAAAUCCCCAUUCACACAUGCACCCCCCAGUUUUCGACACCCAACCCUAAUGCUACCAACACAUCAACACGCAGAAUUACUACCAGCUGUCACCACGUAGUCUUCACAAUUAAAUCUUUGUUCUGUACUCUGCCAGUUUUGCAUUUAUACCGUUUGUUCUGUGUGUUGGUAUUUGUCAUGGAGGAAUUGCUGCGGUUUGGUAUUCAGCGCUUCUGGGUUAUUUGUUUUCUGUGUCAUAAAAUAAUGUAUACAAUGGUAAACAAAGGAGGAUGAUAAAUAGAAAUAUAGAGAGGCUGAAACCAAGAGAAAGGAGGAGGGGGAAAACAGGGAAAGUAGAUGGCAAUCAAAUGAAUAUAAUGGGACAUUAAAAUGUAACUGUAGAAGUAGAAGGCGGAGAGCCGUGCUGGUAGAAAAAUGGCGACUGGCUGCAAUUUUUUCUGUCUCUGUGUCCUCGUCUCACUUUUCGAUGUUCCAUCUUUCUCUGCCAGGGCUCUCUCUCCUUUCCCUCACCUCACUCUCUUUCAGCAGGUCUCUCUGCUUACUCUCCUUUUCUCUUUUACUUUACCUUCUUUCCUCUCUGAUUUUUCCUCUUUUCCUCCCUCUCCCAUUUACAUCCUUUCUCUCCUCCCAUUUCUCUUCUUCUGCCCUCCCCAACUCCUUACACACACACACACACACACACACACACAUCCCUCAGCAGUGAUGGCAUGCAUUCAGCAGCAGAUGCAGUUGGCUAAGCCCAGAGCAUCUGCUGAGAUAGACGAACACCACUGACAUAGCUUCACAGGCUCCUUGUGUUGUGUUUGCAUGCCUGUAUCUGUGUCAGUCACGAUCGAUUGCUGGCGUAUACAGUGUCUCUCCGUGGGCUUAUGAAUGAAUGUGUGUCUAGUGUAGAUUUGGCUGCAUGUGGGCGCAUGCAUUUUCAUCCUGUCUGUGCUGGCCUGCACAUAUUUUGCAGCUAUAUGGCAUGUGUCUGUGUGUGAAUGAGUCUGUGCCAUCUGCACAAGACUACAAGUGGAGGUGUGUGUAUUGCCUGCUUUGUGUGUGUGUGUGCUGUGAUACUCAGCAUGCAUAUAGGAAUGUGCCCCCACCUUCCCCCAUGUGCCUCCCAAACCCUUCAUUAACUAAACAUGACCCUUAAGAGUAUGAUUAGCCUCAUUUCAAGACAGGAUGUCGGAAGCCAUCACCCAAGGGGGGGAAAAUCCAUUACUAUAAUUGCAUUGAGCUGAGGGAGGGAGGCGAGAGAGAGGGAGGAAAGAAAGGAUGCAUAGAUGGAUAAAAAGGAAGAAAAUGAGUGGUGUAGGGGGGGGGCAGAGGGCCAUCAGAGAUGCCGGGAUGAAGUGGAAGGAGGGAGAGAGACAGAGGAUGAGGGCUGAGGGAGAGGGGGUGGCAGCUGAUGGUAGGAACUGAUAUUCUAUAUGAAUCCAUAGUUCCUUCUCGUGGAUCCCCCCUGUGUCUGAGUGCUCAGUUGGUACGGCCCUCCGACAAUAAAACCACCUCCAGUGAGUCUUGAUGUGGCACUUCCACUCGGUACUCCAGCUCACGCACAAGAGUCACUGGCCUGCUUUUGAACGGGGAAAGGCUGCAUGUGGACCGCCAUGCCGGCUCGAAAGGGCACAGCGAACACGCCCCAGCAUGGCGGCCACUGCUGCUGCCCUGGCACAGCGACACAGAGGGAUGGAAAGGCGGAGGGGCGAUGCAGGUCUCCUGGGCUGUCAAAGCCCAGAUACCUGGGCACAGACAAAGAAACGAAAAACUAUUUUUUACUUUUUCUUGUCCCAUCGUGUCUUUUCAUCUGUCAGUCUGUCUGCCAGGCAGGCAGGCAGGCGCUCAGCAUGAGUGAGUAUUGUCUAUACACUUGGAUACACACACACACACACACACACACACACACACACACACACAGACACUCACAGACAGGCAUGUGCUUUGUCUGUCACACUUUUGUGUCACCUCUCUGUCUAUCUCCAUCUCUUCUCUGGUUAUGCUACAUUGUCUGUGGCUGUACGGUGCCCAUGGGAAUGAUGAUGAUGAUGUAUAAAAUGAUUGUUAAUGAUUGGAGGCAGACAUCACUGUCUCAAUAUAAAUACACAUAUACUGUAUGUGUAUGUAUGCUGUAGUACUUUAUGUAUAUAUUUUUGCUACACAGGAAAUUAAGAAGUGAAGGGUGGGGUUUCUCUCUCUCUCACACACACACUCAGGCACUGGUCGGCUCAUUGUGUCAUGGCAAAUGAGGACAGAAAGCCUCCCACUCUUACUUUCAUGAUGACUGGCACAGAGAGCAAGACUCCCUGUCUUCAUUUCCCCUUUCUACACCAUAUCUCAUAGUGUGGAAUAAGCAUGAAGCCAGAUCGAAAGAGUCAAAAUCCGAGUUGCUGAUUUUUCCCGUAAGGUUGCAUUCAGGCGCAGACAGUGUGACUAUCUUGACCAAGGCUAAUAGAAUGAGGGCCUGUGUGUGCCGGCACAGAGAAUGAUGUUAACAUGCGUAUUUGAAGAGACACGCACAUAUUCUCACCAAAUACAUUCUUUUUAAAGGAUUGAUUUUAUAUGAUUUCCUAAAAUAUGGUCAUUCUUGUCCCUUGGCUUACAAUAAGGUGUAUUUUAAGAGACGCAGUCAGAUGUCCACUGAUCUUUAAUAAUAUCUGCACAUUGUAGCAAAUUAGAGAAAAAGAUUGAAACUUCCAUCAGUUGUAUUUUCAAUUGAAGGCAGACUAGUCCUCAGUUCUACAUUUAGCUUUAAUUUCUUGACAUAGAUCUGCUGUUUGUAAUUAACAGCAAUGGAGUAUUUCCUGAUUUAUCUCUAAUUAUUAAAUUAUUUUCUGUGGCUGUGUUCCUGUUCCUGUAGAAGCUUCUGGGCUGUCUGGCCAGCAGGCUGUGGGUGUUCACAGUGUGUUGCAGAUCUCUGAGGAUACACAAUACAGGGGUGGGGCAACAGAAAUUGUACAUCUUUAGAUACACUUAUUGCCCAACACUGAAUUGAUCAUAAGCAUGCAUUUAUCCUCUGCUAAAAUGUCUUUUUUUUUUUCUUUGGUCUCAAUGUGUCCGCAUGGCUCUUUAAUAUGACACUAUUUUAUGUUUAUUUUUACCAUUUGGGAAUGAAUUCAAGCAGGAACUGAGGCGUCGGCAGUGUUGAGCCA